UGCAAGUCGAGCGGUAGCACAGAGAGCUUGCUCUCGGGUGACGAGCGGCGGACGGGUGAGUAAUGUCUGGGAAACUGCCUGAUGGAGGGGGAUAACUACUGGAAACGGUAGCUAAUACCGCAUAACGUCGCAAGACCAAAGUGGGGGACCUUCGGGCCUCAUGCCAUCAGAUGUGCCCAGAUGGGAUUAGCUAGUAGGUGGGGUAAUGGCUCACCUAGGCGACGAUCCCUAGCUGGUCUGAGAGGAUGACCAGCCACACUGGAACUGAGACACGGUCCAGACUCCUACGGGAGGCAGCAGUGGGGAAUAUUGCACAAUGGGCGCAAGCCUGAUGCAGCCAUGCCGCGUGUAUGAAGAAGGCCUUCGGGUUGUAAAGUACUUUCAGCGAGGAGGAAGGCGUUAAGGUUAAUAACCUUGGCGAUUGACGUUACUCGCAGAAGAAGCACCGGCUAACUCCGUGCCAGCAGCCGCGGUAAUACGGAGGGUGCAAGCGUUAAUCGGAAUUACUGGGCGUAAAGCGCACGCAGGCGGUUUGUUAAGUCGGAUGUGAAAUCCCCGGGCUCAACCUGGGAACUGCAUUUGAAACUGGCAAGCUUGAGUCUUGUAGAGGGGGGUAGAAUUCCAGGUGUAGCGGUGAAAUGCGUAGAGAUCUGGAGGAAUACCGGUGGCGAAGGCGGCCCCCUGGACAAAGACUGACGCUCAUGUGCGAAAGCGUGGGGACCAAACAGGAUUAGAUACCCUGGUAGUCCACUCUGUAAACGAUGUCGACUUGGAGGUUGGUUCCCUUGAGGAGUGUUUUCCGGAGCUAACGCGUUAA
RNAcentral lists this ribosomal RNA (817 nucleotides) under Klebsiella planticola. Its description in RNAcentral is "bacterial SSU rRNA". It matches the Rfam family "Bacterial small subunit ribosomal RNA", at positions 56 to 863 of the family's 1533-position model. Lineage: Bacteria; Pseudomonadati; Pseudomonadota; Gammaproteobacteria; Enterobacterales; Enterobacteriaceae. The record is from RNAcentral. RNAcentral also lists the same sequence under 1 other name.